This 195-nucleotide non-coding RNA is filed under the name Paenibacillus antarcticus. The record is from RNAcentral. Lineage: Bacteria; Bacillati; Bacillota; Bacilli; Caryophanales; Paenibacillaceae.
AUAACAUUGUGCAAAUAAGGUGCUUUAGUUGAACUAACUUUAGCUUAAAAGGGAAGUCCGGUGUAAUACCGGCGCGGUCCCGCCACUGUAACAGAGGAGUCGCUGCUUAGUAACCACUGAUCGUACGGAUCGGGAAGGGGAGCAGAUGGAUUACGAUUCUGGAGCCAGGAGACCUGCCUAUUUUGUCAACACUGA